GGGCGAGUGGCGGAAUUGGUAGACGCGCUGGACUUAAAAUCCAGUGACUGAAUAAGUCGUGCGGGUUCAAUUCCCGCCUUGCCCACCA
RNAcentral lists this transfer RNA (88 nucleotides) under Candidatus Falkowbacteria bacterium RIFOXYA2_FULL_35_8. RNAcentral's name for it is "tRNA-Leu". It matches the Rfam family "tRNA". Rfam says of the family: Transfer RNA (tRNA) molecules are approximately 80 nucleotides in length. Their secondary structure includes four short double-helical elements and three loops (D, anti-codon, and T loops). The record is from RNAcentral. RNAcentral also lists the same sequence under 1 other name. Lineage: Bacteria; Candidatus Falkowiibacteriota.